GACGAACGCUGGCGGCGUGCUUAACACAUGCAAGUCGAGCGGAAAGGCCACUUCGGUGGUACUCGAGCGGCGAACGGGUGAGUAACACGUGAGUAAUCUGCCCCUGGCUUUGGGAUAGCCACCGGAAACGGUGAUUAAUACCGGAUACGACCACUUCUCGCAUGGGAUGGUGGUGGAAAGUUUUUUCGGCCAGGGAUGUGCUCGCGGCCUAUCAGCUUGAUGGUGAGGUAAUGGCUCACCAUGGCUUCGACGGGUAGCCGGCCUGAGAGGGUGACCGGUAACACUGGGACUGGGACACGGCACAGAAUCCUACGGGAGGCAGCAGUGGGGAAUGUUGGACAAUGGGCGGAAGCCUGAUCCGGCAACGCCGCGUGAGGGAUGACGGCCUUCGGGUUGUAAACCUAUUUCAGCAGGGACGAAGCGCAAGUGACGGUACCUGCAGAAGAAGCACCGGCCAACUACGUGCCAGCCGCCGCGGUAA
This 481-nucleotide ribosomal RNA is filed under the name uncultured bacterium. Its description in RNAcentral is "partial 16S ribosomal RNA". It matches the Rfam family "Bacterial small subunit ribosomal RNA", at positions 28 to 523 of the family's 1533-position model. The record is from RNAcentral.